CCUACGGGAGGCAGCAGUGGGGAAUAUUGCACAAUGGGGGAAACCCUGAUGCAGCGACGCCGCGUGAGUGAAGAAGUAAUUCGUUACGUAAAGCUCUAUCAGCAGGGAAGAAAUACUGACCUUACGGUCAGCAGACGGUACCUGAGUAAGAAGCCCCGCCUAACUACGUGCCAGCAGCCGCGGUAAUACGUAGGGGGCAAGCGUUAUCCGGAUUUACUGGGUGUAAAGGGAGCGUAGACGGUGCGCCAAGUUUGGAGUGAAAUGCCGCAGCUUAACUGCGGAACUGCUUUGAAAACUGGCGAACUAGAGUGCGGGAGGGGUAAGCGGAAUUCCUGGUGUAGCGGUGAAAUGCGUAGAUAUUAGGAGGAACACCGGUGGCGAAGGCGGCUUACUGGACCGUAACUGACGUUGAGGCUCGAAAGCGUGGGGAGCAAACAGGAUUAGAUACCCGUGUAGUC
Molecule: ribosomal RNA, 458 nt
Filed under: uncultured bacterium
Lineage: Bacteria
Description: partial 16S ribosomal RNA
Rfam family: Bacterial small subunit ribosomal RNA
Source: RNAcentral